This 71-nucleotide transfer RNA is filed under the name Perca fluviatilis (European perch). It matches the Rfam family "tRNA". From Rfam's summary of the family: Transfer RNA (tRNA) molecules are approximately 80 nucleotides in length. Their secondary structure includes four short double-helical elements and three loops (D, anti-codon, and T loops). The record is from Rfam by way of RNAcentral. Lineage: Eukaryota; Metazoa; Chordata; Actinopteri; Perciformes; Percidae.
GGUGCUGUGGCUUAGUGGUUAAAGCGUGUCUUGUAAACAGGAAAUCCUGGGUUCAAAUCCCAGCAGUGCCU